RNAcentral lists this unclassified non-coding RNA (1650 nucleotides) under Leptolyngbyaceae cyanobacterium ZNP2-B3-c5. RNAcentral's name for it is "bacterial SSU rRNA". The stretch from base 1 to 1163 matches the Rfam family "Bacterial small subunit ribosomal RNA", at positions 356 to 1533 of the family's 1533-position model. Lineage: Bacteria; Bacillati; Cyanobacteriota; Cyanophyceae; Leptolyngbyales; Leptolyngbyaceae. The record is from RNAcentral.
GGGGAAUUUUCCGCAAUGGGCGAAAGCCUGACGGAGCAAUACCGCGUGAGGGAGGAAGGCUUUUGGGUCGUAAACCUCUUUUAUUGGGGAAGAAGAACUGACGGUACCCAAUGAAUCAGCAUCGGCUAACUCCGUGCCAGCAGCCGCGGUAAUACGGAGGAUGCAAGCGUUAUCCGGAAUUAUUGGGCGUAAAGCGUCCGCAGGUGGUUUUACAAGUCUGCUGUCAAAGCGCGGAGCUUAACUUCGUAUCGGCAGUGGAAACUGUGGAACUAGAGUUUGGUAGGGGUCACGGGAAUUCCCAGUGUAGCGGUGAAAUGCGUAGAUAUUGGGAAGAACACCAGCGGCGAAAGCGCGUGACUGGGCCUGAACUGACACUCAUGGACGAAAGCUAGGGGAGCGAAAGGGAUUAGAUACCCCUGUAGUCCUAGCUGUAAACGAUGACAACUAGGUGUUGCCCGUAUCGACCCGGGCAGUGCCGUAGCUAACGCGUUAAGUUGUCCGCCUGGGGAGUACGCACGCAAGUGUGAAACUCAAAGGAAUUGACGGGGGCCCGCACAAGCGGUGGAGUAUGUGGUUUAAUUCGAUGCAACGCGAAGAACCUUACCAGGGCUUGACAUGUCGCGAACCUCGGUGAAAGCUGAGGGUGCCUUUGGGAGCGCGAACACAGGUGGUGCAUGGCUGUCGUCAGCUCGUGUCGUGAGAUGUUGGGUUAAGUCCCGCAACGAGCGCAACCCUCGUUUCUAGUUGCCAGCAUUUAGUUGGGCACUCUGGAGAGACUGCCGGUGACAAACCGGAGGAAGGUGGGGAUGACGUCAAGUCAGCAUGCCCCUUACGUCCUGGGCUACACACGUACUACAAUGCUUCGGACAGAGGGUUGCCAACCCGCGAGGGUGAGCUAAUCUCGUAAACCGAGGCUCAGUUCAGAUUGCAGGCUGCAACUCGCCUGCAUGAAGGCGGAAUCGCUAGUAAUCGCAGGUCAGCAUACUGCGGUGAAUACGUUCCCGGGCCUUGUACACACCGCCCGUCACACCAUGGGAGUUGGCCACGCCCGAAGUCGUUACUCCAACCGUUCGCGGAGGGGGACGCCGAAGGCAGGGCUGAUGACUGGGGUGAAGUCGUAACAAGGUAGCCGUACCGGAAGGUGUGGCUGGAUCACCUCCUUUAUAGGGAGACCUACCCACUUGGAGUCGAAAACGACGAGUGAAUAGACCUAAGUUGGUCAACCCAAGGUCGGUCGAGGAUAAGUCAAGGCUUCUAAACUAUCUAGGUUUGGUUCAUGGGCUAUUAGCUCAGGUGGUUAGAGCGCACCCCUGAUAAGGGUGAGGUCCCUGGUUCGAGUCCAGGAUGGCCCACCUUGGGGGUUUAGCUCAGUUGGUAGAGCGCCUGCUUUGCAAGCAGGAUGUCAGCGGUUCGAGUCCGCUAACCUCCACUGAGAAACGAUUCAGCAACUUGUCUAACUAGAGCGCUAGGAUAGAGAGCCUGCUGGAUACGUUCCAGCGAAGAACCUUGAAAACUGCAUAGUAACUUGUCAGGUAGAACGGCUGAUAGCGAAUCGCUAUCAGUAGACAGACACCAAUGAAUGACUUAAGCGAAGUCAAAUUUAGUGGUCAAGCUAGAAAGGGCUCAUGGUGGAUACCUAGGCACACAGAG